RNAcentral lists this ribosomal RNA (297 nucleotides) under Triticum aestivum (bread wheat). RNAcentral describes it as "partial small subunit ribosomal RNA". The record is from RNAcentral. Lineage: Eukaryota; Viridiplantae; Streptophyta; Magnoliopsida; Poales; Poaceae.
AUGCGAAUUCUCUGCCGCAGGACCGUGGCUGCGAUGCUCGCCGACGCGCUGGGCUACGGCUUCGUCGAGGCGGACGACCACCACUCCCACGCCAACAAAGAGAAGAUGAGCAGGGGCGUCCCACUCACGGACGAGGACCGCCUUCCGUGGCCGGAGUCGCUGCACGACGCCAUCAGAGAGCGGCUGGACCACGGCGAGGACGUCGCCGUCAGCUGCUCGGCGCUGCGGCUCAAGUAUCAGCCGAGUGCGGCGAGACCGGGACGAGCGGCGCGAGUACCGUGCAGGCGGCCGGACUGA